GAUGAACGCUGGCGGCGUGCCUAACACAUGCAAGUCGAACGGAGUUGUUAUUAUGAAGUUUUCGGAUGGAUUAAUAAUAACUUAGUGGCGGACGGGUGAGUAACGCGUGGGUAACCUGCCUCAUACAGGGGGAUAACAGUUGGAAACGACUGCUAAAACCGCAUAACAUUGCGACGUCGCAUGACGAUGCAAUUAAAUAUUUAUAGGUAUGAGAUGGGCCCACGUCUGAUUAGCUAGUUGGUGAGGUAAUGGCUCACCAAGGCGACGAUCAGUAGCCGGCUUGAGAGAGUGACCGGCCACAUUGGGACUGAGACACGGCCCAAACUCCUACGGGAGGCAGCAGUGGGGAAUAUUGCACAAUGGGGGAAACCCUGAUGCAGCGACGCCGCGUGAGUGAAGAAGUAUUUCGGUAUGUAAAGCUCUAUCAGCAGGGAAGAAAUUGACGGUACCUGACUAAGAAGCCCCGGCUAACUACGUGCCAGCCGCCGCCGUAA
This 494-nucleotide ribosomal RNA is filed under the name uncultured bacterium. Its description in RNAcentral is "partial 16S ribosomal RNA". It matches the Rfam family "Bacterial small subunit ribosomal RNA", at positions 28 to 523 of the family's 1533-position model. The record is from RNAcentral.